This 253-nucleotide ribosomal RNA is filed under the name uncultured bacterium. RNAcentral's name for it is "partial 16S ribosomal RNA". It matches the Rfam family "Bacterial small subunit ribosomal RNA", at positions 524 to 776 of the family's 1533-position model. The record is from RNAcentral.
GACGGAGGGUGCUAGCGUUGUUCGGAAUUACUGGGCGUAAAGGGCGCGUAGGCGGCCGUUCAAGUCGGAUGUGAAAGCCCGGGGCUCAACCUCGGAACGGCAUUCGAAACUGGGCGGCUUGAGGUCGAGAGAGGAAAGUGGAAUACCCAGUGUAGAGGUGAAAUUCGUAGAUAUUGGGUGGAACACCGGUGGCGAAAGCGGCUUUCUGGCUCGAUUCUGACGCUGAGGCGCGAAAGCGUGGGGAGCAAACAGG